UUUGGAUCUGGCUCAGAUUGAACGCUGGCGGCAGGCCUAACACAUGCAAGUCGAGCGGUAGCACAGAGAGCUUGCUCUCGGGUGACGAGCGGCGGACGGGUGAGUAAUGUCUGGGAAACUGCCUGAUGGAGGGGGAUAACUACUGGAAACGGUAGCUAAUACCGCAUAACGUCGCAAGACCAAAGUGGGGGACCUUCGGGCCUCAUGCCAUCAGAUGUGCCCAGAUGGGAUUAGCUAGUAGGUGGGGUAACGGCUCACCUAGGCGACGAUCCCUAGCUGGUCUGAGAGGAUGACCAGCCACACUGGAACUGAGACACGGUCCAGACUCCUACGGGAGGCAGCAGUGGGGAAUAUUGCACAAUGGGCGCAAGCCUGAUGCAGCCAUGCCGCGUGUAUGAAGAAGGCCUUCGGGUUGUAAAGUACUUUCAGCGGGGAGGAAGGCGAUAAGGUUAAUAACCUUGUCGAUUGACGUUACCCGCAGAAGAAGCACCGGCUAACUCCGUGCCAGCAGCCGCGGUAAUACGGAGGGUGCAAGCGUUAAUCGGAAUUACUGGGCGUAAAGCGCACGCAGGCGGUCUGUCAAGUCGGAUGUGAAAUCCCCGGGCUCAACCUGGGAACUGCAUUCGAAACUGGCAGGCUAGAGUCUUGUAGAGGGGGGUAGAAUUCCAGGUGUAGCGGUGAAAUGCGUAGAGAUCUGGAGGAAUACCGGUGGCGAAGGCGGCCCCCUGGACAAAGACUGACGCUCAGGUGCGAAAGCGUGGGGAGCAAACAGGAUUAGAUACCCUGGUAGUCCACGCCGUAAACGAUGUCGAUUUGGAGGUUGUGCCCUUGAGGCGUGGCUUCCGGAGCUAACGCGUUAAAUCGACCGCCUGGGGAGUACGGCCGCAAGGUUAAAACUCAAAUGAAUUGACGGGGGCCCGCACAAGCGGUGGAGCAUGUGGUUUAAUUCGAUGCAACGCGAAGAACCUUACCUGGUCUUGACAUCCACAGAACUUAGCAGAGAUGCUUUGGUGCCUUCGGGAACUGUGAGACAGGUGCUGCAUGGCUGUCGUCAGCUCGUGUUGUGAAAUGUUGGGUUAAGUCCCGCAACGAGCGCAACCCUUAUCCUUUGUUGCCAGCGGUUCGGCCGGGAACUCAAAGGAGACUGCCAGUGAUAAACUGGAGGAAGGUGGGGAUGACGUCAAGUCAUCAUGGCCCUUACGACCAGGGCUACACACGUGCUACAAUGGCAUAUACAAAGAGAAGCGACCUCGCGAGAGCAAGCGGACCUCAUAAAGUAUGUCGUAGUCCGGAUUGGAGUCUGCAACUCGACUCCAUGAAGUCGGAAUCGCUAGUAAUCGUAGAUCAGAAUGCUACGGUGAAUACGUUCCCGGGCCUUGUACACACCGCCCGUCACACCAUGGGAGUGGGUUGCAAAAGAAGUAGGUAGCUUAACCUUCGGGAGGGCGCUUACCACUUUGUGAUUCAUGACUGGGGUGAAGUCGUAACAAGGUAACCGUCC
Molecule: ribosomal RNA, 1501 nt
Filed under: Klebsiella pneumoniae
Lineage: Bacteria; Pseudomonadati; Pseudomonadota; Gammaproteobacteria; Enterobacterales; Enterobacteriaceae
Description: bacterial SSU rRNA
Rfam family: Bacterial small subunit ribosomal RNA
Source: RNAcentral